RNAcentral lists this non-coding RNA (155 nucleotides) under Clostridium butyricum E4 str. BoNT E BL5262. Its description in RNAcentral is "glmS glucosamine-6-phosphate activated ribozyme". It matches the Rfam family "glmS glucosamine-6-phosphate activated ribozyme aptamer". Rfam says of the family: This entry contains a glucosamine-6-phosphate activated ribozyme that is found in the mRNA for GlmS. GlmS is an enzyme that uses fructose-6-phosphate and glutamine to generate glucosamine-6-phosphate. The ribozyme catalyses self cleavage of the glmS mRNA that is thought to regulate GlmS activity. The record is from RNAcentral. Lineage: Bacteria; Bacillati; Bacillota; Clostridia; Eubacteriales; Clostridiaceae.
UUCCACUAACCAAAUCAUAGAUUUGGAUGCUCACUUAAGUUGACGAGGUUGGGGAGUUAUCGAAACUUCGGCGGGUGCCCCACGGUAUAGCACUACCGUUAACAGCUGGCAAAACUUUAAAGUGAUUUAAAGUACAAAUCCAGUUUGGUGUUAAA